CUUUGAAGUUCUAAUAUCACGAAGAAACACCCUCGAUGAGCAAGGCGCCGUCGCCACCUUCCCCCAAGCUGUUAAAACCAGUAGCUGUCGAAAGUCCGACUGAAGACCUCGAUGUGCUGUUGGAAAAAGCUGGCCUACAAGGAAUAUUAGAAAAGGACUUCGUUCUGAUGCAAGGGCUGAAACACGACUUGAACAGGAAACUGUACGAAAUGGAGGGAAACAAGGAGGCGGUGAGUAACUGAAUGUAGGAUGAUAAAGACGAAUAUUAUAAUGAUAAACAAUUUUGCCCAUAUUGAAAAUCCAAAAAAG
This 309-nucleotide unclassified non-coding RNA is filed under the name Melitaea cinxia (Glanville fritillary). RNAcentral describes it as "misc RNA ENSMCXG00005002418.1". Lineage: Eukaryota; Metazoa; Arthropoda; Insecta; Lepidoptera; Nymphalidae. The record is from RNAcentral.